GGAAGCUUUGUCCAGCCAUCCAGUCAGCUGCUCCUGGACUCCCAGUAGAAGAGUCAUCAACCUUCCAUCUGACAGGAGUACCCGGAGGAAAGGAGCAUCAUUACCUGCGAAGACCAAGGGGUCCCAAGAAGGGUCUGAACCAAACUCUAGGUUAGAGCCCUGACUUCCUACUCCACUUUUCAUCCAACUCAGCAUAUACAUACACAGGUCUCACGGAUUCCUAAGGUUUUCGUUUUCUUAUGAAGCCUUUUGUGUCGUGUAAAAUUACAUUAAAUACCUUUGUAUGCUUUUGUCCCG
RNAcentral lists this long non-coding RNA (297 nucleotides) under Mustela putorius furo (domestic ferret). RNAcentral describes it as "lncRNA (ENSMPUG00000028731.1)". The record is from RNAcentral. Lineage: Eukaryota; Metazoa; Chordata; Mammalia; Carnivora; Mustelidae.